This 253-nucleotide ribosomal RNA is filed under the name uncultured bacterium. RNAcentral's name for it is "partial 16S ribosomal RNA". It matches the Rfam family "Bacterial small subunit ribosomal RNA", at positions 524 to 776 of the family's 1533-position model. The record is from RNAcentral.
UACGUAGGGGGCAAGCGUUGUCCGGAUUUAUUGGGUUUAAAGGGUGCGUAGGCGGCUUUGUAAGUCAGUGGUGAAAUAUGGCAGCUCAACUGUCAAGGUGCCAUUGAUACUGCGGAGCUUGAGUACAGAUGAGGUAGGCGGAAUUGACGGUGUAGCGGUGAAAUGCUUAGAUAUCGUCAAGAACACCUAUAGCGAAGGCAGCUUACUAGGCUGUAACUGACGCUGAGGCACGAAAGUGUGGGGAGCAAACAGG